GUUGAACGCUGGCGGCAUGCCUUACACAUGCAAGUCGAACGGCAGCACGGGUGCUUGCACCUGGUGGCGAGUGGCGAACGGGUGAGUAAUACAUCGGAACGUACCUUAUCGUGGGGGAUAACGCAGCGAAAGCUGUGCUAAUGCCGCAUACGCCCUGAGGGGGAAAGCGGGGGAUCGAAAGACCUCGCGCGAUUAGAGCGGCCGAUGCCUGAUUAGCUUGUUGGUGGGGUAAAAGCCCACCAAGGCGACGAUCAGUAGCUGGUCUGAGAGGACGAUCAGCCACACUGGGACUAAGACACGGCCCAGACUCCUCCGGGAGGCAGCAGUGGGGAAUUUUGGACAAUGGGGGCAACCCUGAUCCAGCAAUGCCGCGUGAGUGAAGAAGGCCGUCGGGUUGUAAAGCUCUUUUGUCAGGGAAGAGACACCGGCUCUAACACAGUCCGGGAAUGACGGUACCUGAAGAAUAAGCACCGGCUAACUACGUGCCAGCAGCCGCCGUAA
RNAcentral lists this ribosomal RNA (501 nucleotides) under uncultured bacterium. RNAcentral's name for it is "partial 16S ribosomal RNA". It matches the Rfam family "Bacterial small subunit ribosomal RNA", at positions 28 to 523 of the family's 1533-position model. The record is from RNAcentral.